RNAcentral lists this ribosomal RNA (460 nucleotides) under uncultured bacterium. RNAcentral's name for it is "partial 16S ribosomal RNA". It matches the Rfam family "Bacterial small subunit ribosomal RNA", at positions 338 to 795 of the family's 1533-position model. The record is from RNAcentral.
CCUACGGGCGGCAGCAGUGAGGAAUAUUGGUCAAUGGACGAGAGUCUGAACCAGCCAAGUAGCGUGAAGGAUGACUGCCCUAUGGGUUGUAAACUUCUUUUAUAUGGGAAUAAAAUGUUCCACGUGUGGGAUUUUGUAUGUACCAUAUGAAUAAGGAUCGGCUAACUCCGUGCCAGCAGCCGCGGUAAUACGGAGGAUCCGAGCGUUAUCCGGAUUUAUUGGGUUUAAAGGGAGCGUAGGUGGAUUGUUAAGUCAGUUGUGAAAGUUUGGGGCUCAACCGUAGAAUUGCAGUUGAAACUGGCAGUCUUGAGUACAGUAGAGGUGGGCGGAAUUCGUGGUGUAGCGGUGAAAUGCUUAGAUAUCACGAAGAACUCCGAUUGCGAAGGCAGUUCACUGGACUGCAACUGACACUGAGGCUCGAAAGUGUGGGUAUCAAACAGGAUUAGAUACCCCAGUAGUC